GGAUGUGAGAACGAUCUAGCUGCGACAUCAGUCACCCCACUGGUGGCCUGGGUUGGUUCUGCUGAUCUGGCUGGCUAGGUAGGUGUCCCCUUCCUCCCUCACUGCUCCAUGUGCUUCCUUCCUGCUCUCUGGGUCUAAGAGGAGUCCUUCCCGAAUAGAGGUAACUGGUCUUCCGUUGAGGGUAUAUGGAGUAGCUGCGCUCCCCUGCUAGAACCUCCAAACAAGCUCUCAAACUGUAUCUUAAAUACACACUUUUUAAAAAUAGAGAAGUAGAGAGAGAAAGAAUAAAGAGACUACAUCACUAGUACUUCCUUCAAUGUGGUGGAGGUUAGGCUGG
Molecule: small nuclear RNA, 337 nt
Filed under: Erinaceus europaeus (western European hedgehog)
Lineage: Eukaryota; Metazoa; Chordata; Mammalia; Eulipotyphla; Erinaceidae
Description: 7SK RNA
Rfam family: 7SK RNA
About the family: 7SK was discovered as an abundant small nuclear RNA in the mid-70s but a possible function has only recently been suggested.
Source: Rfam by way of RNAcentral